GGCAGCUGCGAAAGCAGCGGGAGAAUGAAAAUCCGUUGACCGGUAAGGUCGUGAGGGUUCAAGUCCCUCCGCCCCCA
Molecule: transfer RNA, 77 nt
Filed under: Acaryochloris marina MBIC11017
Lineage: Bacteria; Bacillati; Cyanobacteriota; Cyanophyceae; Acaryochloridales; Acaryochloridaceae
Description: tRNA-Phe (GAA) (tRNA-Phe-GAA-3-1)
Source: RNAcentral